RNAcentral lists this ribosomal RNA (245 nucleotides) under uncultured bacterium. Its description in RNAcentral is "partial 16S ribosomal RNA". It matches the Rfam family "Bacterial small subunit ribosomal RNA", at positions 524 to 768 of the family's 1533-position model. The record is from RNAcentral.
AACGUAGGGGGCUAGCGUUGUUCGGAAUUACUGGGCGUAAAGCGCGUGUAGGCGGUUUGGUAAGUCAGAAGUGAAAUCCCUCGGCUCAACCGAGGAACUGCUUUUGAAACUACCGAACUUGAGUAUGGGCGGGGAGAGCGGAAUUCCCGGUGUAGCGGUGAAAUGCGUAGAUAUCGGGAAGAACACCAGUGGCGAAGGCGGCUCUCUGGACCAUCACUGACGCUGAGACGCGAAAGCGUGGGGAG